This 253-nucleotide ribosomal RNA is filed under the name uncultured bacterium. RNAcentral describes it as "partial 16S ribosomal RNA". It matches the Rfam family "Bacterial small subunit ribosomal RNA", at positions 524 to 776 of the family's 1533-position model. The record is from RNAcentral.
UACGUAGGGGGCAAGCGUUGUCCGGAUUUAUUGGGCGUAAAGAGCGUGUAGGCGGCCACACAGGUCUGCUGUGAAAACUCGAGGCUCAACCUCGAGCUGUCGGUGGAAACCGUGUGGCUAGAGUCCGGAAGAGGAGAGUGGAAUUCCCGGUGUAGCGGUGAAAUGCGCAGAUAUCGGGAGGAACACCGGUGGCGAAGGCGGAUCUCUGGGCCAUUACUGACGCUGAGGAGCGAAAGCGUGGGGAGCGAACAGG